GAUGGGUCCCCUCGCAACAAUAAUCCGUGAACCUGGUCAGGCCUGGAAGGGAGCAGCCACAGCGGUGGACUUGGGUGCCGGGGUGUGGCUUGUUCAG
This 97-nucleotide signal recognition particle RNA is filed under the name Gammaproteobacteria bacterium. Its description in RNAcentral is "signal recognition particle sRNA small type". It matches the Rfam family "Bacterial small signal recognition particle RNA". From Rfam's summary of the family: The signal recognition particle (SRP) is a universally conserved ribonucleoprotein involved in the co-translational targeting of proteins to membranes. Archaeal SRP consists of a 7S RNA and homologues of the eukaryotic SRP19 and SRP54 proteins. Lineage: Bacteria; Pseudomonadati; Pseudomonadota; Gammaproteobacteria. The record is from RNAcentral.